Salmo salar (Atlantic salmon) is the source of this 693-nucleotide long non-coding RNA. RefSeq lists it as uncharacterized. NCBI's taxonomy places the organism in Eukaryota, Metazoa, Chordata, Actinopteri, Salmoniformes, Salmonidae. The record is from RefSeq and is a predicted model, not a curated record.
CUCUCUGUGUGUGUGUGUGUGUGUGUGUGUGUGUGUGUGUGUGUGUGUGUGUGUGUGUGUGUGUGUGUGUGUGUGUGUGUGUGUGUGUGUGUGUUUUAAAAUGCGUGCCCAUGACGUGGCAUAGGCCAGCUUCAGUGCCCCUACUUAUUUAGGCUACCAGACUGGAAAAUUAAUUGGAUUUUAAUUUAACAAUAUCACCCACGGAGAGAAGCGUUGUGAUGGUUAUAGCCUGGAUUCUUCAGUGUAGCUAAAGUGGACUUUCAGGAAGUGAGGUGGCAACGGGACACAAAAGUGCUCACCCCGGCAACGCUUCAAGAGAGCGCUUCUCCAUAGCAACUGUGUGGCAGCCUGUGCCAGUUCUGUCCCUGCGGUUCUUUGAGCCCAGGAGAAUGUCAGGAGAGAUUUGGAACUUUCGCUUGGGCUUGGAUGAAUAGCAGUCCACCGACCAUCCCCUCCCCCCUCCACUAUUUCCUUUAGUCGAGAGGCCUAAACAAGCAACUUCAACCGUCAGGUUUAUGGGUCUUAAUGUUUUUGUCUGACACCGCAUUACUCUGGCUGAAAAUACUUACUUGUGCUCUUUCAAAGUUUUGAUAAGGGCUUUCCAGAGGGUGGUGUGGUCAGUCCAACGCAUCACCAGGGGCACACUGCCUGCCCUCCAGGACAUCUACAGCACCUGGUGGCACAGGAAGGCCA